This 76-nucleotide transfer RNA is filed under the name Methylacidiphilales bacterium. RNAcentral's name for it is "Candidatus Methylacidiphilales bacterium tRNA-Ala". It matches the Rfam family "tRNA". From Rfam's summary of the family: Transfer RNA (tRNA) molecules are approximately 80 nucleotides in length. Their secondary structure includes four short double-helical elements and three loops (D, anti-codon, and T loops). Further hydrogen bonds mediate the characteristic L-shaped molecular structure. tRNAs have two regions of fundamental functional importance: the anti-codon, which is responsible for specific mRNA codon recognition, and the 3' end, to which the tRNAs corresponding amino acid is attached (by aminoacyl-tRNA synthetases). tRNAs cope with the degeneracy of the genetic code in two manners: having more than one tRNA (with a specific anti-codon) for a particular amino acid; and 'wobble' base-pairing, i.e. permitting non-standard base-pairing at the 3rd anti-codon position. The record is from RNAcentral. Lineage: Bacteria; Pseudomonadati; Verrucomicrobiota; Methylacidiphilae; Methylacidiphilales.
GGGGCGGUAGCUCAGUUGGUAGAGUGUCGCGUUCGCAAUGCGAAGGUCGGGAGUUCGAUCCUCCUCCGCUCCACCA